RNAcentral lists this ribosomal RNA (386 nucleotides) under uncultured soil bacterium. Its description in RNAcentral is "bacterial SSU rRNA". It matches the Rfam family "Bacterial small subunit ribosomal RNA", at positions 26 to 408 of the family's 1533-position model. The record is from RNAcentral.
AGGACGAACGCUGGCGGCGUGCUUAACACAUGCAAGUCGAGCGGUAAGGCCUUUCGGGGUACACGAGCGGCGAACGGGUGAGUAACACGUGGGUGAUCUGCCCUGCACUUCGGGAUAAGCCUGGGAAACUGGGUCUAAUACCGGAUAUGACCUCCUAUCGCAUGGUGGGUGGUGGAAAGAUUUAUCGGUGCAGGAUGGGCCCGCGGCCUAUCAGGCUUGUUGGUGGGGUAAUCGGCCUAACCAAGGCGACGACGGGUAGCCGACCUGAGGAGGGUGACCGGCCACACGUGGGACUGAGACACGGCCCAGACUCCGUACGGGAGGCAGCGAGUGGGGAUAUGCACAAUGGGCGAAAGCCUGAUGCGAGCGACCGCCGCGGUGGAGGA